This 424-nucleotide ribosomal RNA is filed under the name uncultured Glomeraceae. Its description in RNAcentral is "SSU rRNA". It matches the Rfam family "Eukaryotic small subunit ribosomal RNA", at positions 459 to 886 of the family's 1831-position model. The record is from RNAcentral. Lineage: Eukaryota; Fungi; Glomeromycota; Glomeromycetes; Glomerales; Glomeraceae.
GGGAGGUAGGUGACAAUAAAUAACAAUACGGGGUUCUUUUGGAUUUCGUAAUUGGAAUGAGUACAAUUUAAAUCUCUUAACGAGGAACAAUUGGAGGGCAAGUCUGGUGCCAGCAGCCGCGGUAAUUCCAGCUCCAAUAGCGUAUAUUAAAGUUGUUGCAGUUAAAAAGCUCGUAGUUGAAUUUCGGGGUCAGUAGAUCGGUCAUGCCACAGGUAUGUACUGGUCUCACUGAUUCCUCCUUCCUGAUGAACCGUAAUGCCAUUAAUUUGGUGUUGCGGGGAGACUGGACUGUUACUUUGAAAAAAUUAGAGUGUUUAAAGCAGGCUAACGCUUGAAUACAUUAGCAUGGAAUAACGGAAUAGGACGUUCGAUCUUAUUUUGUUGGUUUCUAAGAUUGACGUAAUGAUUAAUAGGGAUAGUUGGG